Molecule: long non-coding RNA, 1320 nt
Organism: Melanotaenia boesemani (Boeseman's rainbowfish)
Lineage: Eukaryota; Metazoa; Chordata; Actinopteri; Atheriniformes; Melanotaeniidae
Exons: 3
Source: RefSeq, a predicted model, not a curated record
UAACUGGCUAGCAGUAGAAGAAGAAGCAUCGUAAACAAACCAAGCAGGAAAUGUGUUAGAGCUUUUUCCAGCUUUGAUGAAAAGAUGGAUUCAGUCAGCAGACGGUCUCUGGACAGGAUUUAUUCUGUGGUCCUACUGGCCGUGGUGGUUUUGUCCUGGUCCUACGUGAUCUACGCCAGCAGGAUCGCAGCUAAUUGGCUGCUGGAGAGGAGGACCGUCGUCCUGCAGCAAGACUGACGCUCCCAUCGCUGGGUCAGACCUCUGGCAGGCUGACCUGAAGGGCAUGAACAGACUGAGGACCGAGCCAACCAGACAUGCUGAGAUGGAUGACCUGAGUGGAGACGGAAACCAGAGACUGGUUUAAACCUGAUCAUGGAUGUGAUGGGAUGGUGUGGACGGUUUCCAGACCAGCUUCAGACUCGAGCUUUGUCCCAAUUCAGAGCCUCCAUACGUCAUGGUGGUGCACCAAGCACGGUCCCAUUCGGAAGGAGCCUCCGAAUCCGCACGUCGUUUGGCCUCAAACGAAGGACGCUGGCGAUCCUUCACGGCCUCUUUUCUCCCAGAAUUCAUUGCAUACAAGACGGUGGCGAAUGAGUAACGGAGUUCAGAAGAGGUUUUUUUUUUGUUGUUUUUUUUAACCAGACUUUAGUAGAAACAUAGAAACCAAGUACAUUAAAAACAUGUCUGUUAAACGGUGACAUUAAAAUUCUGUAAUAUUUAAUUAAUAUUUGUGCAUUUUAAGGGGUUAAUGAUGAAUCUGACAGAGUUUUUUUACUCCGUUGGUACUAAAGUGUUCUGUGAUAUGCAGACGGUCAUUUCAGAGGUUUAAGUGAUUCAACGUCCAACGUUGCUGCUAUGGGAAAUACUCGUUGGUUAGGUAGGCUGUGCCAUUUCACGAACGUUAAGCGAGCUUGGAAGUGUGCAGACCCUGAACUGGGACACAGCUUCAGGGAUGUAAACCCUGGAGCAAACCGGAGCUGAAGGUCUGCAGAGCAUUUCUGGACCAUCCUAACACACUCCGAGUUUAAAAUGAGACCCUAAACAUUGGUAAACAAGUCUCCUAAAAGUCUCUGUUUUGUUCGUUCAUCAGUAAAAAUCUGUUUUUUGUAUUCAGGGCGGAGGAUCUGAUUCUUUUCUGUGCAAAAUAAAACUCACAGUUCAGUUGAUUCUUCUUUUAAAAUGAUUCUGAAACACAAAUAAGAGGUUUUGCUAAGCAGACUGAGACUAUUUGUUGCUUCUUUUUUCUGUUUUUAGUUUUUCUUUCUGACUUUGUGAAGAUAUUGUGUAAAAUGUGUUCCAGAAAUAAAGUUAGAUUUAUUG